UACCAGCACCCCGAGUGGUCGGGGCGAUUAUUGGGCCUAAAGCAUCCGUAGCCGGCCUUACAAGUCCUCCGUUAAAUCCAGCUGCUUAACAGAUGGGCUGCGGAGGAUACUAUAAGACUAGGAGGCAGGAGAGGCAAGCGGUACUCAGUGGGUAGGGGUAAAAUCCGUUGAUCCAUUGAAGACCACCAGUGGCGAAGGCGGCUUGCCAGAAUGCGCUCGACGGUGAGGGAUGAAAGCUGGGGGAGCAAACAGG
This 253-nucleotide ribosomal RNA is filed under the name uncultured bacterium. Its description in RNAcentral is "partial 16S ribosomal RNA". It matches the Rfam family "Archaeal small subunit ribosomal RNA", at positions 474 to 727 of the family's 1478-position model. The record is from RNAcentral.